AGUGAACGCUGGCGGUAGGCCUAACACAUGCAAGUCGAACGGCAGCACAGUAAGAGCUUGCUCUUACGGGUGGCGAGUGGCGGACGGGUGAGGAAUACAUCGGAAUCUACUUUUUCGUGGGGGAUAACGUAGGGAAACUUACUCUAAUACCGCAUACGACCUACGGGUGAAAGCAGGGGAUCUUCGGACCUUGCGCGAUUGAAUGAGCCUAUGUCGGAUUAGCUAGUUGGCGGGGUAAAGGCCCACCAAGGCGACGAUCCGUAGCUGGUCUGAGAGGAUGAUCAGCCACACUGGAACUGAGACACGGUCCAGACUCCUACGGGAGGCAGCAGUGGGGAAUAUUGGACAAUGGGCGCAAGCCUGAUCCAGCAAUACCGCGUGGGUGAAGAAGGACUUCGGGUUGUAAAGCCCUUUUGUUGGGAAAGAAAAGCAGCAGGUUAAUACCCCGCUGUUCUGACGGUACCCAAAGAAUAAGCACCGGCUAACUUCGUG
This 492-nucleotide ribosomal RNA is filed under the name uncultured bacterium. RNAcentral describes it as "partial 16S ribosomal RNA". It matches the Rfam family "Bacterial small subunit ribosomal RNA", at positions 29 to 507 of the family's 1533-position model. The record is from RNAcentral.